UAAAUGUGUUUUUUAAGUGUUACCUACAACAUUGUUGAAGAAUUCGAAUGCAUUGAAGUAAUUUUGCUUUUGAGAAAUUAAUUUUAUGAAUAGAUAAAGUGGCUGGUUGUGUUUGGGACUAAAUGCCUGUUGGAGAAAUAGGCUAACAAAGGGUGAAGGUGAAGAUCAUUAGAGGUUUUAGAGCUGGCUGAGACGGGUUGCUGGGGUUGUGUAACUGUGCCUAGAGGGCGGGGUUCCUGUACAUUCCUACUUCACCAGAUAACCUGCCCCCAACACCACUCCAGCUUCUGCCAGACAGAUGGAACUCUCCAAUAUGAAAAUCUGCGCAGCCAUUCCAACAAGCAGGACUCUGCGCGAGGUUGUCCGAAAGAUGCGGAGGAAAAAGACUUAAGGACUGGCAGCGCUCUUACCCCAAGAUCGGUAAGUGAAAGUGGUUUUCGGAGGGGAGGAGGGCUACUCCUGACUGCUUUUGCUUGAGGCUUAAACCGCGACUUUGAGGUCCAGGGCUAAAGUGCUCCCCAGUUUUUAUUUUUUAUUUUUGAAAAAUUUCGUUAGCUGGGCGUCCUAUCAGCCGCAGUAGCUGAACGAGUGCAUGCUUUUCCCACGUCGGCAGAAAGUCACAGUGGAUCCCUAAGAAAAGAGGAUGUAGGCAGGACAAAGAG
Molecule: long non-coding RNA, 662 nt
Filed under: Rhinolophus ferrumequinum (greater horseshoe bat)
Lineage: Eukaryota; Metazoa; Chordata; Mammalia; Chiroptera; Rhinolophidae
Description: lncRNA (ENSRFEG00010001202.1)
Source: RNAcentral